GGGAGCCGGAGGGAAACCGAGUCUUAAUUGGGCGUUAAGUUGCAGGGUAUAGACCCGAAACCCGGUGAUCUAGCCAUGGGCAGGUUGAAGGUUGGGUAACACUAACUGGAGGACCGAACCGACUAAUGUUGAAAAAUUAGCGGAUGACCUGUGGCUGGGGGUGAAAGGCCAAUCAAACCGGGAGAUAGCUGGUUCUCCCCGAAAGCUAUUUAGGUAGCGCCUCGUGAAUUCAUCUCCGGGGGUAGAGCACUGUUUCGGCUAGGGGGCCAUCCCGGCUUACCAACCCGAUGCAAACUGCGAAUACCGGAGAAUGUUAUCACGGGAGACACACGGCGGGUGCUAACGUCCGUCGUGAAGAGGGAAACAACCCAGACCGCCAGCUAAGGUCCCAAAGUCAUGGUUAAGUGGGAAACGAUGUGGGAAGGCCCAGACAGCCAGGAUGUUGGCUUAGAAGCAGCCAUCAUUUAAAGAAAGCGUAAUAGCUCACUGGUCGAGUCGGCCUGCGCGGAAGAUGUAACGGGGCUAAACCAUGCACCGAAGCUGCGGCAGCGAACGUAUCACUUAAAGCGAUUCAGCGGGUUACGAUUGACGGAGCGAAGCGACGUCAAAGCGUAUACAAAGUCGAGUCGGUUUAAGGAUACGUUCGUUGGGUAGGGGAGCGUUCUGUAAGCCUGUGAAGGUGGCCUGUGAGGGUUGCUGGAGGUAUCAGAAGUGCGAAUGCUGACAUAAGUAACGAUAAAGCGGGUG
Molecule: ribosomal RNA, 747 nt
Filed under: Salmonella enterica subsp. enterica serovar Dublin
Lineage: Bacteria; Pseudomonadati; Pseudomonadota; Gammaproteobacteria; Enterobacterales; Enterobacteriaceae
Description: partial 23S ribosomal RNA
Rfam family: Bacterial large subunit ribosomal RNA
Source: RNAcentral